This 423-nucleotide ribosomal RNA is filed under the name uncultured bacterium. Its description in RNAcentral is "bacterial SSU rRNA". It matches the Rfam family "Bacterial small subunit ribosomal RNA", at positions 358 to 773 of the family's 1533-position model. The record is from RNAcentral.
GGAAUAUUGGACAAUGGGCGAAAGCCUGAUCCAGCCAUGCCGCGUGUGUGAAGAAGGUCUUCGGAUUGUAAAGCACUUUAAGUUGGGAGGAAGGGUCGUAACUUAAUACGUUGCUAUUUUGACGUUACCGACAGAAUAAGCACCGGAUAACUUCGUGCCAGCAGCCGCGGUAAUACGAAGGGUGCAAGCGUUACUCGGAAGAACUGGGCGUAAAGCGCGCGUAGUUGGUUCAGUAAGUUGGAUGUGAAAUCCCCGGGCUCAGCCUGGGAACUGCAUCCAAAACUGCUGAACUAGAGUACGGUAGAGGGUGGUGGAAUUUCCUGUGUAGCGGUGAAAUGCGUAGAUAUAGGAAGGAACACCAGUGGCGAAGGCGACCACCUGGACUGAUACUGACACUGAGGUGCGAAAGCGUGGGGAGCAAAC